Brachypodium distachyon (stiff brome) is the source of this 409-nucleotide long non-coding RNA. RefSeq lists it as uncharacterized. The record is from RefSeq and is a predicted model, not a curated record. Lineage: Eukaryota; Viridiplantae; Streptophyta; Magnoliopsida; Poales; Poaceae. The transcript is spliced from 3 exons.
CGCGAUACCCCAAAACCUGCAGCCCCCCGUACGCACUUCCCGUCCAUCGCCUGCCGCCGGCCGAACUCAUCUCGUCGCCGCCGCCGGACACCAUGUCGAAACAAGGCGGGAAGCAGAAGCCGCUCAAGGCGCCCAAGGCUCAGAAGAAAGAGUAUGACGAGACGGAUCUGGAUAACCUGAAGAAGAAGAAAGACGAGGAGAAGGCUCUCAAGGAGCUGAGGGCUAAGGCUGCGCAGAAGGGGGCCCUCGGAGGCGCCGGCCUCAAGAAGAGCGGCAAGAAAUGAUCAUCUACUAUCUACUUAGUUUAGAAGCUUGUGAAGAAGCUUUCAAAAAAAAAAAAGAAGCUUGUGAAGAAAGUCCUGCUUUCCUUAAUUUUCCAUUUGUGAGUUCACAAUUAACCAGAGAUUAU